RNAcentral lists this ribosomal RNA (261 nucleotides) under uncultured prokaryote. Its description in RNAcentral is "partial 16S ribosomal RNA". It matches the Rfam family "Bacterial small subunit ribosomal RNA", at positions 524 to 784 of the family's 1533-position model. The record is from RNAcentral.
UACGUAGGGUGCGAGCGUUGUCCGGAAUUAUUGGGCGUAAAGAGCUUGUAGGCGGUUUGUCUCGUCUGCUGUGAAAAUCCGGGGCUCAACCCCGGACUUGCAGUGGGUACGGGCAGACUAGAGUGUGGUAGGGGAGACUGGAAUUCCUGGUGUAGCGGUGAAAUGCGCAGAUAUCAGGAGGAACACCAAUGGCGAAGGCAGGUCUCUGGGCAGUUACUGACGCUGAGGAGCGAAAGCAUGGGUAGCGAACAGGAUUAGAUA